Molecule: ribosomal RNA, 633 nt
Filed under: uncultured Arcobacter sp.
Lineage: Bacteria; Pseudomonadati; Campylobacterota; Epsilonproteobacteria; Campylobacterales; Arcobacteraceae
Description: bacterial SSU rRNA
Rfam family: Bacterial small subunit ribosomal RNA
Source: RNAcentral
GACGCUGAGACGCGAAAGCGUGGGUAGCAAACAGGAUUAGAUACCCUGGUAGUCCACGCCCUAAACGAUGUACACUAGUUGUUGUGAGGCUCGACCUUGCAGUAAUGCAGUUAACACAUUAAGUGUACCGCCUGGGGAGUACGGUCGCAAGAUUAAAACUCAAAGGAAUAGACGGGGACCCGCACAAGCGGUGGAGCAUGUGGUUUAAUUCGACGAUACACGAAGAACCUUACCUGGACUUGACAUAGUAAGAACUUUCUAGAGAUAGAUUGGUGUCUGCUUGCAGAAACUUAUAUACAGGUGCUGCACGGCUGUCGUCAGCUCGUGUCGUGAGAUGUUGGGUUAAGUCCCGCAACGAGCGCAACCCUCGUCAUUAGUUGCUAACAGUUCGGCUGAGAACUCUAAUGAGACUGCCUACGUAAGUAGGAGGAAGGUGAGGACGACGUCAAGUCAUCAUGGCCCUUACGUCCAGGGCUACACACGUGCUACAAUGGGGUAUACAAAGAGCAGCAAUACGGUGACGUGGAGCAAAUCUCAAAAAUAUCUCCCAGUUCGGAUUGUAGUCUGCAACUCGACUACAUGAAGUUGGAAUCGCUAGUAAUCGAGAUCAGCUAUGCUACGGGAAUACUCCCG